This 103-nucleotide ribosomal RNA is filed under the name Serinus canaria (Common canary). Lineage: Eukaryota; Metazoa; Chordata; Aves; Passeriformes; Fringillidae. The record is from RNAcentral.
GCAUACGGACCUGGANACGCCGAUCUCGUCUGAUCUCGGAAGCUAAGCAGGGUCGGGCCCGGUUAGUACUUGGAUGGGAGACCGCCUGGGAAUACCGGGUGCU